This 544-nucleotide long non-coding RNA is filed under the name Homo sapiens (human). RNAcentral's name for it is "non-protein coding lnc-RSPH6A-2:2". The record is from RNAcentral. Lineage: Eukaryota; Metazoa; Chordata; Mammalia; Primates; Hominidae.
UGUAUGUAUUUACUAAAAGAGAGGGUGAGUUUUUCUCUUUAAGAUUGACUGAUACUGAUGGAGACCCCCAGGGUUUGAAGCAUCAGCUUGUAAGGCGGAAAGCCACACGUUAGAUCUGAGGGUGAAGGAACUUUUCUAGUAGAUGCCUGCAAGACCACUGCCCAAGUUUGGGGUUGAGAAUUAAGACUGGCAGCAUGCCAUGAGAUCUUCCACAAGACACAGCUCCUGCCACUUUCCUCACAGCCAACCUGCCCCCGACGCUGGCCAAAUCGCAGGUGAGCAGUGUGCGUAAGAAUCUGAAGCUGCACCUGUUGAGUGUGCUGAAGCACCCGGCUUCCUUGGAGUUCCAGGCCCAGAUCACCACCCUGCUGGUGGACCUGGGCACACCUCAGGCCGAGAUCGCCCGCAACAUGCCGAGCAGCAAGGACACCCGCAAGCGGCCCCGCGAUGACUCGGACUCCACACUCAAGAAGAUGAAGCUGGAGCCCAACCUGGGGGAGGACGAUGAGGACAAAGACUUGGAGCCAGGCCCGUCGGGGACCUC